Triticum urartu is the source of this 125-nucleotide non-coding RNA. Lineage: Eukaryota; Viridiplantae; Streptophyta; Magnoliopsida; Poales; Poaceae. The record is from Rfam.
AUACUACUCCCUUCGCACGGAAAUACUUGUCAUCAAAAUGGAUAAAAAUGAAUGUAUCUAAAAUUAAAAUACAUCUACAUACAUCCAUUUCAAUGACAAGUAUUUCCGGACGGAGGGAGUAUAUC